RNAcentral lists this unclassified non-coding RNA (546 nucleotides) under Hevea brasiliensis (rubber tree). Lineage: Eukaryota; Viridiplantae; Streptophyta; Magnoliopsida; Malpighiales; Euphorbiaceae. The record is from RNAcentral.
GGAACAGAAAUUGAUGGAGAAGGAGAGUUCCAGGAGGCAGCAAGAAAUUGAUAACCACAUCUAUCUUGCUCGUGAAAAAAGCCUCACAGAUGCCAAUUAUUACCGUGUAUUAAAAGAAGCUGAAGCCAACAAGUUGAAGCUUACACCCCAGUUUCUCGAGCUUAAAUUUAUCGAGGCCAUUGCUGAUAAUACAAAGAUUUUCUUUGGGGACAAGGUUCCGAACAUGAUUUUCGAUCAGAGGUUGCUCGGAAACUUCCUGCAUCAGGUGGCGGAAAAUGAAUCAAUAAAAGCCUCUGGGGAGGGAAACUUAGAAAUGUAGAUCCAAGAUUCAUCUUCUAAUGGUCAGGAAACAAUGGCGUUUGAUGGGGUUGUCGUUUCUCAUGUUCGACCGGAUAAAGUCCAACGGGAAGCAAUUUUCAUGAUGUGAUAUAUUUGACAAACUUAAGUAAAUACCCGUUGGAAUUGCCUUUUGUUGUUUAGCACACAAGUCUGGUUCACAAAUUUUGAGCACGUACCAAAUGUGAUUUGAGCUUCUCUUGAAAAUAA